RNAcentral lists this ribosomal RNA (383 nucleotides) under uncultured eukaryote. RNAcentral's name for it is "partial 18S ribosomal RNA". It matches the Rfam family "Eukaryotic small subunit ribosomal RNA", at positions 592 to 976 of the family's 1831-position model. The record is from RNAcentral.
CAAUAGCGUAUAUUAAAGUUGUUGCAGUUAAAAAGCUCGUAGUUGGAUUUCUGGUAGGAGUGACCGUUCCGAACUUGAUUGUUCGUGUAUUGUGUUUUCUCCAGCCAUCCUUGUGGAGAACUUUUCUUGCAUUAAUUUGUAGGGAUUGGGACCCGCAUCGUUUACUGGGAAAAAAUUAGAGUGUUUAAAGCAGGCAAUCGCUUGAAUACAUUAGCAUGGAAUAAUAAGAUAGGACUUUGGUACUAUUUUGUUGGUUUGCAUACCAAAUUAAUGAUCAACAGGAACAGUUUGAGGAUAUUCGUAUGAACAUGUCAGAGGUGAAAUUCUUGGAUUUUGAUCAGACGAACUACUGCGAAAGCAUUUAUCAAGGAUGUUUUCAUUAA